This 285-nucleotide ribosomal RNA is filed under the name uncultured Pedobacter sp. Its description in RNAcentral is "partial 16S ribosomal RNA". It matches the Rfam family "Bacterial small subunit ribosomal RNA", at positions 127 to 412 of the family's 1533-position model. Lineage: Bacteria; Pseudomonadati; Bacteroidota; Sphingobacteriia; Sphingobacteriales; Sphingobacteriaceae. The record is from RNAcentral.
UACCUUCAUCAGGGGGAUAGCCCGGAGAAAUCCGGAUUAACACCGCAUGAAAUCACAGUACGGCAUCGUACAAUGAUCAAACAUUUAUGGGAUGGAGAUGGGCAUGCGUGUCAUUAGUUAGUUGGCGGGGUAACGGCCCACCAAGACCGCGAUGACUAGGGGAUCUGAGAGGAUGACCCCCCACACUGGUACUGAGACACGGACCAGACUCCUACGGGAGGCAGCAGUAAGGAAUAUUGGUCAAUGGGCGAGAGCCUGAACCAGCCAUGCCGCGUGCAGGAAGAC